AGAGUUUGAUCCUGGCUCAGAACGAACGCUGGCGGCGUGCUUAACACAUGCAAGUCGAACGAGAAAGCCUGGGCAACUGGGUGAGUAAAGUGGCGCACGGGUGAGUAACACGUGGGUAACCUACCCUUGAAUCGGGGAUAACACCACGAAAGCGGUGCUAAUACCGGAUAAUAUAUUUGAGCCUUAGGGUUCGAGGAUCAAAGAUGGCCUCUGCUUGCAUGCUAUCGUUCAAGGAUGGGCCCGCGCACCAUUAGCUUGUUGGUAGGGUAACGGCCUACCAAGGCUACGAUGGUUAGCUGGUCUGAGAGGAUGGCCAGCCACACUGGAACUGAGACACGGUCCAGACUCCUACGGGAGGCAGCAGUGGGGAAUCUUGCGCAAUGGGGGAAACCCUGACGCAGCAACGCCGCGUGGGUGAUGAAGGCCUUCGGGUCGUAAAGCCCUGUCAGGUGGGACGAAACAGCUUGGCGCUAAUAUCGUCAAGCAUUGACGGUACCAUCGAAGGAAGCACCGGCUAACUCCGUGCCAGCAGCCGCGGUAAUACGGAGGGUGCAAGCGUUGUUCGGAAUUAUUGGGCGUAAAGAGCGUGUAGGCGGCCGGGUAAGUCAGAUGUGAAAUCCUUUCGCUUAACGAAAGAAGUGCAUUUGAUACUGCCUGGCUAGAGUUCGGAAGAGGAGAGUGGAAUUCCUGGUGUAGAGGUGAAAUUCGUAGAUAUCAGGAGGAACACCGGUGGCGAAGGCGGCUCUCUGGUCCGAUACUGACGCUGAGACGCGAAAGCGUGGGGAGCAAACAGGAUUAGAUACCCUGGUAGUCCACGCCGUAAACUAUGGGCACUAGGUGUAGGAGGUAUUGACCCCUUCUGUGCCGAAGCUAACGCAUUAAGUGCCCCGCCUGGGGAGUACGGCCGCAAGGUUAAAACUCAAAGGAAUUGACGG
Molecule: ribosomal RNA, 935 nt
Filed under: uncultured bacterium
Lineage: Bacteria
Description: bacterial SSU rRNA
Rfam family: Bacterial small subunit ribosomal RNA
Source: RNAcentral